CCUGUGAAACCCAAAAGAUCGAAUGGGGAGAUUCAUCGUCAGCGAUCCUGGUGUUUGUACGGCUCGCGAUGUCGGGGACCUCGGUCCCGCGGCACGCGUCCGUAUGUUCUUCAAACCAGGUGUCGUCGGCGUGCACUUCUCCCCUAGUAGGACGUCGCGACCCGUUGGGUGUCGGUCUACGGCCCGGGUGGGAGCCUGGACUGCGUGCGCUUCGCGGCGCUACUCUGUCCAGACCCCCGGUUGCCCGACCGGCUGCCCGGCGGUACUCGCACGGUAUCGAGCCGCAAUUAUUCGAACUGCGUCCGGCCCGGCGCAAGCGAGACCACUGUUACCCGGACGCACGGAUCCAAUGCCGUCGCCGGGCUUGGUCGGCUGCUGGCCGCCGGUGCCCUUGGACGGGCUCAACCAUUAUGAUACCGGUCGGCGACGCUACUGCUUUGGGUACUCUCAGGA
This 453-nucleotide ribosomal RNA is filed under the name Labena grallator. RNAcentral describes it as "partial 28S ribosomal RNA". Lineage: Eukaryota; Metazoa; Arthropoda; Insecta; Hymenoptera; Ichneumonidae. The record is from RNAcentral.